AUUGAACGCUGGCGGCAGGCCUAACACAUGCAAGUCGAGCGGAUGAAGGGAGCUUGCUCCUGGAUUCAGCGGCGGACGGGUGAGUAAUGCCUAGGAAUCUGCCUGGUAGUGGGGGAUAACGUCCGGAAACGGGCGCUAAUACCGCAUACGUCCUGAGGGAGAAAGUGGGGGAUCUUCGGACCUCACGCUAUCAGAUGAGCCUAGGUCGGAUUAGCUAGUUGGUGGGGUAAAGGCCUACCAAGGCGACGAUCCGUAACUGGUCUGAGAGGAUGAUCAGUCACACUGGAACUGAGACACGGUCCAGACUCCUACGGGAGGCAGCAGUGGGCAAUAUUGGACAAAGGGCGAAAGCCUGAUCCAGCCAUGCCGCGUGUGUGAAGAAGGUCUUCGGAUUGUAAAGCACUUUAAGUUGGGAGGAAGGGCAGUAAGUUAAUACCUUGCUGUUUUGACGUUACCAACAGAAUAAGCACCGGCUAACUUCGUG
This 484-nucleotide ribosomal RNA is filed under the name uncultured bacterium. RNAcentral's name for it is "partial 16S ribosomal RNA". It matches the Rfam family "Bacterial small subunit ribosomal RNA", at positions 30 to 507 of the family's 1533-position model. The record is from RNAcentral.